UGGCCCUACGGGGGGCAGCAGUAGGGAAUCUUCGUCAAUGGGCGCAAGCCUGAACGAGCAAUGCCGCGUGAACGAGGAAGGUCUUCGGAUCGUAAAGUUCUGUUGAAGGGGAAAAAGAGCGGAGAGAGGAAAUGGUCUCCGAUUGAUAUUACCCUUCGAGGAAGUCACGGCUAACUACGUGCCAGCAGCCGCGGUAAUACGUAGGUGGCGAGCGUUAUCCGGAAGGAUUGGGGGUAAAGGGGGCGUAGGCGGCCUGCUAAGUCUGGAGUGAAAGGCACCGGCUCAAC
Molecule: ribosomal RNA, 287 nt
Filed under: uncultured bacterium
Lineage: Bacteria
Description: partial 16S ribosomal RNA
Rfam family: Bacterial small subunit ribosomal RNA
Source: RNAcentral